Molecule: ribosomal RNA, 1311 nt
Filed under: Triticum aestivum (bread wheat)
Lineage: Eukaryota; Viridiplantae; Streptophyta; Magnoliopsida; Poales; Poaceae
Description: partial small subunit ribosomal RNA
Source: RNAcentral
AUGAGAGGCUGGGCCACCGCCGGCAGAGGAACAAGAGCCCCGCCAACCGCCACACCGCAAGCGAGACGAGGAGGGGGGAGAUGGGGAACUGCGGCACGCGGGAGGAGAAUGCCGUCGUCGCCGCGCACGCGCAAGCAAGUCCACUUGUUACAACAGUCCGACAAGAAUGCUCUUGCAGAUAGGAAGCACACCCGCACCUCAUCAGAUGUGAGUGACCCUCCAACACCUAGGAAAAUCGAAGAUGCCAAGAACAUUUCCAUAUACAACAAUGUGAUUGCAUUCACGUUGUUUGAGCUUGAAACAAUCACAAAGAGCUUUCGGGCCGAUUAUGUUCUUGGAGAAGGAGGCUUUGGGACUGUUUACAAGGGUUACAUAGAUGAGAAUGUCAGGGUUGGCCUGAAAUCACUGCCUGUUGCCGUCAAGGUGCUCAACAAAGAUGGACAUCAAGGGCACAGAGAAUGGCUCACUGAGGUUAAUUUCUUGGGGCAGCUAAAACAUCCAAACCUAGUAAAGUUGAUUGGAUAUUGCUGUGAAGAUGACCACAGGCUGCUUGUCUAUGAGUUCAUGUUUCGAGGAAGUCUGGAAAACCACUUGUUUCGAAAGACAGCUACUCCGUUACCCUGGGCAACUAGGAUGUCUAUUGCACUGGGAGCUGCCAAAGGGUUGGCUUGUCUCCACAAUGCUGAAAGGCCUGUUAUCUACAGGGAUUUCAAGACCUCAAAUAUUCUGCUGGACUCUGAUUAUACUGCUAAACUGUCAGACUUUGGCCUGGCAAAAGCUGGCCCAGAAGGUGAUGAGACCCAUGUAUCAACACGGGUGAUGGGAACAUAUGGUUAUGCCGCCCCUGAAUAUGUGAUGACUGGUCACUUGACAGCUAGAAGUGAUGUCUACAGCUUUGGUGUGGUCCUUCUGGAGCUCCUGACAGGGCGGAAGUCCAUCGACAAAUCCAGGGCAAGCAGGGAGCACAGCCUAGUUGACUGGGUUCGCCCCAAGCUGAGCGACAAGAGGCGGCUUCACCAAAUCAUCGACCCAAAACUGGAGGGACAGUAUUCAGUGAGAGCAGCUCACAAGGCCUGCAGCCUUGCAUACUACUGUCUGAGCCAGAACCCCAAGGCCAGGCCCCUGAUGAGCGAUGUCGUAGAGACGCUCGAGCCAUUGCAGAGUGGCGGUGGGAGCGAUGGAGCCGUUGUUCAAGCCGGCGGCCUCCCUGACUAUAGAGUUCGCCGCGGCCUGACCGGAAACAGCGUCCACUGCAGGGCCAUUCCCAACCCCAAGUGCUCCCCUGCCGUGCCAGCAUGCAGGGUGAGGUGA